This 253-nucleotide ribosomal RNA is filed under the name uncultured bacterium. RNAcentral's name for it is "partial 16S ribosomal RNA". It matches the Rfam family "Bacterial small subunit ribosomal RNA", at positions 524 to 776 of the family's 1533-position model. The record is from RNAcentral.
UACGGAGGGGGCGAGCGUUAUUCGGAAUUAUUGGGCGUAAAGGGCGCGUAGGCGGCCCGGUAAGUCAAAGGUGAAAUCCCUCGGCUCAACUGAGGAACUGCCUUUGAAACUGUCGGGCUUGAGGCCGGGAGGGGGUAGCGGAAUUCCCAGUGUAGCGGUGAAAUGCGUAGAUAUUGGGAGGAACACCGGUGGCGAAGGCGGCUACCUGGACCGGUUCUGACGCUGAGGCACGAAAGCGUGGGGAGCAAACAGG